GGAGAGGUGGCUGAGCGGCUGAAAGCAGCAUCCUGCUAAGAUGUUAAGGGGGUAACUCCUUCAAGGGUUCGAAUCCCUUCCUCUCCGCCA
Molecule: transfer RNA, 90 nt
Filed under: Candidatus Falkowbacteria bacterium HGW-Falkowbacteria-1
Lineage: Bacteria; Candidatus Falkowiibacteriota
Description: tRNA-Ser
Rfam family: tRNA
About the family: Transfer RNA (tRNA) molecules are approximately 80 nucleotides in length. Their secondary structure includes four short double-helical elements and three loops (D, anti-codon, and T loops).
Source: RNAcentral